GAAAUGCGAUAAGUAAUGUGAAUUGCAGAAUUCAGUGAAUCAUCGAAUCUUUGAACGCACAUUGCGCCCGCGAGUAUUCUCGCGGGCAUGCCUGUUCGAGCGUCAUUUCAACCAUCAAGCCCCCGGGCUUGUGUUGGGGACCUGCGGCUGCCCGCAGGCCCUGAAAUCCAGUGGCGGGCUCGCUGUCGCACCGAGCGUAGUAGCAUACUUCUCGCUCCGGGAGCGCGCGGCGGGCGCCCUUGCCGUAAAAACACCCCCCCACAUACCCAAAGGUUGACCUCGGAUCAGGUAGGAAUACCCGCUGAACUUAA
RNAcentral lists this unclassified non-coding RNA (311 nucleotides) under uncultured Lasiosphaeriaceae. RNAcentral describes it as "sequence contains ITS1". The stretch from base 1 to 105 matches the Rfam family "5.8S ribosomal RNA", at positions 50 to 154 of the family's 154-position model. The record is from RNAcentral. Lineage: Eukaryota; Fungi; Ascomycota; Sordariomycetes; Sordariales; Lasiosphaeriaceae.